UGGGGAAUAUUGCACAAUGGGCGCAAGCCUGAUGCAGCCAUGCCGCGUGUGUGAAGAAGGCCUUCGGGUUGUAAAGCACUUUCAGCGGGGAGGAAGGCGAUAAGGUUAAUAACCUUGUCGAUUGACGUUACCCGCAGAAGAAGCACCGGCUAACUCCGUGCCAGCAGCCGCGGUAAUACGGAGGGUGCAAGCGUUAAUCGGAAUUACUGGGCGUAAAGCGCACGCAGGCGGUCUGUCAAGUCGGAUGUGAAAUCCCCGGGCUCAACCUAGGAACUGCAUUCGAAACUGGCAGGCUAGAGUCUUGUAGAGGGGGGUAGAAUUCCAGGUGUAGUGGUGAAAUGCGUAGAGAUCUGGAGGAAUACCGGUGGCGAAGGCGGCCCCCUGGACAAAGACUGACGCUCAGGUGCGAAAGCGUGGGGAGCAAACAGG
Molecule: ribosomal RNA, 429 nt
Filed under: Chloroflexota bacterium
Lineage: Bacteria; Bacillati; Chloroflexota
Description: Chloroflexi bacterium partial 16S ribosomal RNA
Rfam family: Bacterial small subunit ribosomal RNA
Source: RNAcentral